UACGUAGGGUGCAAGCGUUAAUCGGAAUUACUGGGCGUAAAGCGUGCGCAGGCGGUUAUGCAAGACAGAUGUGAAAUCCCCGGGCUUAACCUGGGAACCGCAUUUGUGACUGCAUAGCUGGAGUACGGCAGAGGGGGAUGGAAUUCCGCGUGUAGCAGUGAAAUGCGUAGAUAUGCGGAGGAACACCGAUGGCGAAGGCAGUCCCCUGGGCCUGUACUGACGCUCAUGCACAAAAGCGUGGGGAGCAAACAGG
This 253-nucleotide ribosomal RNA is filed under the name uncultured bacterium. RNAcentral's name for it is "partial 16S ribosomal RNA". It matches the Rfam family "Bacterial small subunit ribosomal RNA", at positions 524 to 776 of the family's 1533-position model. The record is from RNAcentral.